This 465-nucleotide ribosomal RNA is filed under the name uncultured bacterium. RNAcentral's name for it is "partial 16S ribosomal RNA". It matches the Rfam family "Bacterial small subunit ribosomal RNA", at positions 28 to 507 of the family's 1533-position model. The record is from RNAcentral.
GACGAACGCUGGCGGCGUGCUUAACACAUGCAAGUCGAACGGAAAGGCCCCUUUGGGGGUCCUCGAGUGGCGAACGGGUGAGUAACACGUGAGUAACCUGCCCUUGACUUCGGGAUAACUUCAGGAAACUGGGGCUAAUACCGGAUAGGAAUCCUUGCUGCAUGGUGGGGGUUGGAAAGCUUCGGCGGUUUUGGAUGGACUCGCGGCUUAUCAGCUUGUUGGUGGGGUAGUGGCUUACCAAGGCUUUGACGGGUAGCCGGCCUGAGAGGGCGACCGGCCACAUUGGGACUGAGAUACGGCCCAGACUCCUACGGGAGGCAGCAGUGGUGAAUAUUGCACAAUGGGCGGAAGCCUGAUGCAGCAACGCCGCGUGCGGGAUGACGGCCUUCGGGUUGUAAACCGCUUUCAGCAGGGGCGAAGCUUGUGGUGACGGUACCUGCAGAAGAAGCACCGGCUAACUACGUG